Mirounga angustirostris (Northern elephant seal) is the source of this 960-nucleotide long non-coding RNA. RefSeq lists it as uncharacterized. The transcript is spliced from 4 exons. The record is from RefSeq and is a predicted model, not a curated record. NCBI's taxonomy places the organism in Eukaryota, Metazoa, Chordata, Mammalia, Carnivora, Phocidae.
UUUCCUGCUUUAUGGCGAAGGGUGAAUGAGGAUCUGCCGGAGGGAGGGAGACAACAAGGAGAGAGGGGCCCCGGGCCCUAGCGCCCUCCUCCUCAGGGCCAGCCACGCCCUGCCUUCCAGCCCCUCUGUGCAGCUGGGGCCACGCGGCCCAGGACAUUUCGGGCAUCGUACCUGCCACCACUGGGAAAGAUGAUUGUGCCGUCCCCCGAUCCUGAGGUGGGGUGUGCGGACCUGUGCUUCUCUCUCUCGGCUCCCCAGGCCAGAGGGCCUUCUUGGGCCCAGGCAAGAGCAAACAGUGUCCUUCGACGGCACAGUCCGAGUCACCAAGGCCAGGAAAGGUCUGCUGACGGCCAGCUUUCUCUGCACCCCCUCGUGGUGGCCGCGGCCCAGGCUGAUAAAAUCGCUGACGCAGAUUGCCUGCCCAGCUGCGGAGCUGGCGUGGGCCCAGCAGCCCAGACGGUGCCUGGCGACAGUUCAGCUGCUUACUGGCAUCGUCCACUUUGUCCUGCUCAGACUUUCAAGGCGUAAGGCUUGCCUCACUCCUGGAUCAAACGACAGCGUGAGCAAAGUGGGGUAAGCAGAGCCACCCUAAGGGAAUUCCUCAGCUGGAAUGGGGGGUGGAAGCCACGGCUACUAGGGACAGAUGCGUGUGAACGGAGGGAACAACGGUCCUGGAAGUUCUGUCAGAGUUGUGGAGUCUCUGCUGGGCUCGGUGAGGGGAGACCAGUGACAUCUCUGUUAGCUUUUCCCAGAAGCUGACCCACUGUAAACCAUUUCACCUAUCCUGAGCACUAGAAAUAAAAACUCCCCUGUAACUUGCAAGUUAUUGUUCUGGAUUUCUCAGCUCACUCACCAAUACACCUUUACUGAGUAUCUAUUCUAAGAGGGGCACCUUGUUGGUGCCAGAGAUUUAAAAAAAAAAAAAAAUGCUUCAAGAUGCUGCCCUGCCUUAUGAAACCC